RNAcentral lists this ribosomal RNA (243 nucleotides) under uncultured Actinomycetales bacterium. Its description in RNAcentral is "partial 16S ribosomal RNA". It matches the Rfam family "Bacterial small subunit ribosomal RNA", at positions 88 to 334 of the family's 1533-position model. The record is from RNAcentral. Lineage: Bacteria; Bacillati; Actinomycetota; Actinomycetes; Actinomycetales.
UACUCGAGUGGCGAACGGGUGAGUAACACGUGGGUGAUCUGCCCUGCACUUCGGGAUAAGCCUGGGAAACUGGGUCUAAUACCGGAUAGGAGCCAUUUUUAGUGUGAUGGUUGGAAAGUUUUUUCGGUGUAGGAUGAGCUCGCGGCCUAUCAGCUUGUUGGUGGGGUAAUGGCCUACCAAGGCGGCGACGGGUAGCCGGCCUGAGAGGGUGGACGGCCACAUUGGGACUGAGAUACGGCCCAG